This 484-nucleotide ribosomal RNA is filed under the name uncultured bacterium. Its description in RNAcentral is "bacterial SSU rRNA". It matches the Rfam family "Bacterial small subunit ribosomal RNA", at positions 28 to 507 of the family's 1533-position model. The record is from RNAcentral.
GACGAACGCUGGCGGCGUGCUUAAUACAUGCAAGUCGAGCGAGGUUACUGUUUCGGAUCCCUUCGGGGUGAAGAAGCUUUAACCUAGCGGCGGACGGGUGAGUAACGCGUGGGUAACCUACCCCAAAGUCCGGGAUAACAGCGGGAAACCGCUGCUAAUACCGGAUGCCUUUACCUUGGGGCAUCUUGAGGUAAAGAAAGGUAACGCUUUGGGAUGGGCCCGCGUCCCAUUAGCUAGUUGGUGAGGUAACGGCUCACCAAGGCGACGAUGGGUAGCCGGCCUGAGAGGGUGGACGGCCACACUGGGACUGAGACACGGCCCAGACUCCUACGGGAGGCAGCAGUAGGGAAUAUUGCGCAAUGGACGGAAGUCUGACGCAGCGACGCCGCGUGAGCGAUGAAGGUCUUCGGAUCGUAAAGCUCUGUCCUUGGGAAGAAGGCGAAAGCUUGACGGUACCAAGAAGAAAGCCCCGGCUAACUACGUG